Molecule: non-coding RNA, 24 nt
Filed under: Cricetulus griseus (Chinese hamster)
Lineage: Eukaryota; Metazoa; Chordata; Mammalia; Rodentia; Cricetidae
Source: RNAcentral
UGAGUCACUGAAAACAACUAUAGC